GUCAUCAGCGUCCUGAGUUUAUUACACCCCCAGCAAGACACACAAGAAAUGUAACUGGACUGAUGAUCAUCACAAAUCAGUCCAGAAAAAAAAAAAAAAGAUUCAAAACACAUGCACGGGGAUCAUUUUUUUUUUUUUUCAAAGAAUCUCUGCCACAUGCAUUCCAAGAAGAACGUGGAAUUCAAGUUAGAGGGCUCUAAGUGGAAGAGAGAAGAGGCACAACCAUAUGAUUUGUGGUUGGAACAGAAAAAGGACGUCUGAUGUUCUCCUUCCUCCCCCUACCCUAAUGUUCGGCGCUUGGAGACGGACGGUCUGCUAAACUUAUCAUUUAACGUAGAGAAUCAAGUUGUUGAGACUGGCUUUUCUUCCAACCGGAUACCUGAAGGGUGGAGCAGGCGCCCCCUGUUCUGUCCCAGCAACCUACGAAGACUUCCGAACAGGAAGUAUUCGUCAAACAGAAAAUGAUAAAAAAUGAGUUUAUUCAUAAUGGCUAUUAUAGGCUCUGAAGUGUCAGUAACAUGCUGAAGGUGGGGCUCCCUGUGGUCCACGUUAAUCCACUACAGCUGAGGCUCAUUACCUGUGACGCCUUAGACAAGG
This is a long non-coding RNA of Neofelis nebulosa (Clouded leopard), 597 nucleotides long. RefSeq lists it as uncharacterized. The record is from RefSeq and is a predicted model, not a curated record. The transcript has 3 exons. NCBI's taxonomy places the organism in Eukaryota, Metazoa, Chordata, Mammalia, Carnivora, Felidae.